GAUUUUCUUUCAAAAUGAAGUCAAGGUUUCUGCUGUUUGCGCUUCUGUUGUUCUUGAUUCCUGCUUCCAGGAGUGAUGCUGUGAUGACCCAAUCUCCACUGUCCCUAACUGUCAGUCUUGGCGAUCAAGCCUCUAUUUCCUGCAGGUCUAGUCAGAGCCUUGUUGCUAGUGAUGGUUAUACCUAUUUAUAUUGGUUUCUUCAGAAGCCAGGCCAGUCACCACAGCUCCUAAUUUAUGAGGUUUCCAACCGAUAUUCUGGGGUCUCAGACAGGUUCAGUGGCAGUGGGUCAGGGUCAGAUUUCACACUCAAGAUCAGCAGAGUGGAGCCUGAAGAUUUGGGAGUUUAUUACUGCAUGCAAGGUACACAUGUUCCUCCCACAGUGAUGCAGACCCUAACAAAAACAUCCUUGCUUAGGGUAAUCCAGCUGGCAAAUAUGUUAUUUAAAUGUGAGAGAAAGAGGUGA
Alexandromys fortis (reed vole) is the source of this 464-nucleotide non-coding RNA. Lineage: Eukaryota; Metazoa; Chordata; Mammalia; Rodentia; Cricetidae. The record is from the annotation of a RefSeq genome assembly.